This 221-nucleotide long non-coding RNA is filed under the name Elaeis guineensis (African oil palm). RNAcentral's name for it is "long non-coding RNA (EGUI_LNC016361)". Lineage: Eukaryota; Viridiplantae; Streptophyta; Magnoliopsida; Arecales; Arecaceae. The record is from RNAcentral.
GGGCAGAUCGAACUGGACAAUCGCCCUAGGCCCCAGGCCUUGCAUUGAUGUUUCAAUGAAGUACAAAGAUGGCUUUCUACAAUAUUAUAAUAAAAAAUAAUUAAAUAGGUUAAUGAUGAGUUUUACAUGCUGCUUAAUGAACAUAUCUAUAGGAAAUUAUUGUAUGUAGAUUAAUUUUUCAAUGAUAAUUAAUAUUUAAAGUAUAUUAAUUUUUAAUAGAG